CACUUUAGUUUGGAGCCAAAUCAUUUUCUUCAAAGAGAGAAGGUCACAGCAACUCCUGACAGGAGCGAGCAGGAGCAGAAACCUGAGCUCUGCUCUCCAGCUGGUGGUGUUACCACCCAUUCGUGGUUCCUGAGAGAGAACAGGGAGGUGAGCCAGGCCUUAACACCCUGUGUUGCAUUGACAAGCAUGGACCUGGCCUUUCAGACCAAGCUUCCAUGCCUACCAGCACUGGACUGAGCCACUUCUUCAUCCAGCCAGCAAAUCAAUGCAAACCCAAGAGUGGCUCCAGGAGGAAGAUUUCAUGAGAGUGAGGCAGUGACCUUGAGAGCCUGGGAUCUCCCAUCACAGUGCUGCCUGGCCAGCCUCCAGCCCUGGCCAGUGAUGGGGUCUCCAUUCCUCAGUCUGUAGCCCAAGCAGCAAGGGUGAAGUGGAUUGUGGUAACAAUUUGAGUACCUGACGUCUUUCAUCCUGGACUGGCUUCCUGGAGGAGGGAGUGUGUCUAAUUCACCUGCUCAUACUGUGCCUUGUCCUCCUCAGCCCUCCAGCCUGGCCCCCAGGCCCAGAAAAUUCUCUCUAUUGAGGUUCCUUUAGUAGGAUCCAUCUGAUAAAGUUGCAGAGGCAUCUUGGAUUUACAACACCCCCUGCCAGCCCCUCACUGAACCACACAUCAUCUGCAGCAGGAGGCGUUGGAUUACAUUUGGCUGGAGCGCCCGCAUCAACUCCAGUUGUCCCUGAAUUGGAACUGAUGGGCCUCACGUGCCACAGCCAACAGUUUGUCUUCACCCACUCCCCUCUCUGGAAUGAACCUUUCUCUGGGAAAACAAGAAACCUACGUGCCAUCCUGGGUGAGAGACAAACAGGAGCUGCAUCCCAGGAUCGCAUCCCCGGUAUGAUGGGUUCCCCACAGCAAGCCACACUUCAAGCAUCUCUGGAAAGACCUUCUGAACCACAGGACACAAAUGCUCCCUCUGGAGCACCGGAGCCUCUGUGUUCCUCUCAGCUCACAGGCAUCCAUUCUUCCUGCAUUCAGGCUCCUUGAGGAAUGCCUUUAGCUCUAGCUAUUGCAAGCUUUUAAGAACUUAUUGGAACACAAAUGCUCAUUUCAAGGAAACAGAUAACAGUUGCAAAUGGAUUAAACGUAAUCCCUGUGCUGGAGCCCUUGAAGGAAAAGAGAUGGGGGUUUCUGGGCUGUGAGAUGAAGCUUGGUCAAGGAUGCUUGCUUUGAGGACUCUGCUCUGAAAACCCAGGAAGGAGAAGACUCGGGAUUCAAAAUCAUGCAGCCUAAUGCAGAGCCAGCACCCUGACCCUCCCUGUGAGAGCUCUUCAAGGAGUAAGUCUCAUUAAUAACCCAACUCGUGCACUAGAAUGAAUGAACGAUCCAUCUACUUCAUUUGCGGUAAAAUGACUUUUCUGCCAAGUUGAUGAAAGGUGGCUAACAAGGGGAGUUUUGGGGCCUAGGAUACUGCUAUACCAUGAGUGCUAUCCCUCCCAGACUGCAAGGUGAGAUUAUAAACAGUCCGUAGUCAAGGUCUUGUUGGUAGACAAGAGACCUGCUUACGCAUGAAGUAUGCAUCUCCUGAAAACCAUCAGCAUGCUCUCUGGGAGCAGUAAACACUGAUAAUGCAGCAUACCACCAGAUGAGCCUGCUUUUCUCUCCAGCCCAGACAGACACCCCACCCUAGGUGGAGGGCUCUACCCUGUAAGUCUCCUAGAGUGAAGGGCUAAGCCUGGCUAGAGGGCAGAAUUCCCACACAGAUGCCAGGCAUACAAUUCCUGUUUAACACUUCCCUUCUUCUAUGUAACCUUAAAACUGUCCUUUGUAUGUAGAAAACACAGACUAGGACUCACAUUUAAUUUUUGAUGUACUUGCCAAUUUCUGGACAUCAAACUAGAAUGAAAAUUCAAGUUUGGACUUCACACCAGAGGAUCUUGGGCCAUAGAGUCUGCUGUUCAAUAUGAAAUUGAGUAUUCCUCGUUCCCAUAUCCAGAGGAGAUAGGGGAAAUUGUGACCUCUAUCUCAUGUGUGACAUACCAAAAAUUAAAAAAAAAAAAAAA
This 2055-nucleotide long non-coding RNA is filed under the name Sus scrofa (pig). Its description in RNAcentral is "lncRNA (ENSSSCG00060029799.1)". Lineage: Eukaryota; Metazoa; Chordata; Mammalia; Artiodactyla; Suidae. The record is from RNAcentral.